UGGGAAUGCAGCUCAGAAUGGGUGGUAAAUUUCAUCUAAAGCUAAAUACUGGCUGGAGACCGAUAGCGCACAAGUAGAGUGAUCGAAAGAUGAAAAGCACUUUGGAAAGAGAGUCAAAAAGUACGUGAAAUUGUUGAAAGGGAAGCGCUUGCAACCAGACCUGUCCGCAGGUGAUCAGCCGCCGUUCUCGGUGGUGCACUCGCCUGCGAUCAGGCCAGCAUCGGUUCGGGCGGUCGGAUAAAGGCCUUGGGAAUGUAGCUCCUCUCGGGGAGUCUUAUAGCCCUCGGUGCAAUGCGGCCAGCCCGGACCGAGGACCGCGCUUCGGCUAGGAUGCUGGCGUAAUGGUUGUAAGCGACCCGUCUUGAAACACGGACCAAGGAGUCUAACAUCUAUGCGAGUGUUUGGGUGUCAAACCCAUGCGCGGAAUGAAAGUGAACGGAGGUGAGAACCCUUUAGGGCGCAUCAUCGACCGAUCCAGAUGUCUUCGGAUGGAUUUGAGUAUGAGCAUAGCUGUUGGGACCCGAAAGAUGGUGAACUAUGCCUGAAUAGGGUGAAGCCAGAGGAAACUCUGGUGGAGGCUCGCAGCGGU
This 589-nucleotide ribosomal RNA is filed under the name Protoparmelia aff. montagnei A GS-2015. Its description in RNAcentral is "eukaryotic LSU rRNA". It matches the Rfam family "Eukaryotic large subunit ribosomal RNA", at positions 275 to 884 of the family's 3401-position model. The record is from RNAcentral. Lineage: Eukaryota; Fungi; Ascomycota; Lecanoromycetes; Lecanorales; Parmeliaceae.